RNAcentral lists this ribosomal RNA (210 nucleotides) under uncultured bacterium. Its description in RNAcentral is "partial 16S ribosomal RNA". It matches the Rfam family "Bacterial small subunit ribosomal RNA", at positions 568 to 777 of the family's 1533-position model. The record is from RNAcentral.
AGCGUAGACGGUAAAGCAAGUCUGAAGUGAAAGCCCGGGGCUCAACCCCGGGACUGCUUUGGAAACUGUUUAACUAGAGUGCUGGAGAGGUAAGCGGAAUUCCUAGUGUAGCGGUGAAAUGCGUAGAUAUUAGGAGGAACACCAGUGGCGAAGGCGGCUUACUGGACAGUAACUGACGUUGAGGCUCGAAAGCGUGGGGAGCAAACCAAG